AAUAUUGCACAAUGGGGGAAACCCUGAUGCAGCAACGCCGCGUGAGCGAAGAAGGCCUUAGGGUCGUAAAGCUCUGUCCUAAGGGAAGAUAAUGACGGUACCUUAGGAGGAAGCCCCGGCUAACUACGUGCCAGCAGCCGCGGUAAUACGUAGGGGGCGAGCGUUGUCCGGAAUUACUGGGCGUAAAGGGUGCGUAGGCGGCCCUUUAAGUCAGAUGUGAAAGCCCGCAGCUUAACUGCGGAAUUGCAUUUGAAACUGGAGGGCUUGAGUGUCGGAGAGGGUAGUGGAAUUCCCAGUGUAGCGGUGAAAUGCGUAGAUAUUGGGAGGAACACCAGUGGCGAAGGCGACUGCCUGGACGAUAACUGACGCUGAGGCACGAAAGCUAGGGGAGCAAAC
RNAcentral lists this ribosomal RNA (396 nucleotides) under uncultured bacterium. RNAcentral's name for it is "partial 16S ribosomal RNA". It matches the Rfam family "Bacterial small subunit ribosomal RNA", at positions 360 to 773 of the family's 1533-position model. The record is from RNAcentral.